UGUAACAGGGUAAAGAAGGGAGGGGGGAGCGUCUGAAAUGAUGUUUAAUCAAUCUUUACAGUGCACAGACUAGCCCUCUCAAGCCUCAAGAAAGCUACAAUGUUGCAAACAAAAAGAAGAUCUUGCAGCUCUCUUUAUGAUCGUCCUCUCCACGCUUUCCCUCUCCACUCACUUGUCGCAUGCCCCGUGGCCUUGUGCCAAGAAAAGCAAACAGCACGAGAUGCAAUAAAGAGAUUACAUGUCCAUUUCCAACUGUAAACCAGCAAUGAAAAAUGUAUCCCCACAAACACACACACACAGUCAAAAGUUAAAGAAGGAAAAAACAUGUGCCACAUCUUUCUUGGUUUACCCUAAGACACCAAUUCACCACAACACUAUGAUGAGUGCUAGGAAGAAAAGGCGAAGGGUAUAUAAACAAGUCUAAGUGGAGGGUGAGGCAAUCACCAUGAUUGUACCUGUGCUUCUAUAUCCAAUCAUCUUUUCCCAAUUACCCUGCAUAACCCAACACACAUAGCCCCACCUUGAAAAAUCAAGAUAUAUUGCCAUAUCCCCACUUUCUUAGAUGCAAAGCAAUAAACCAUAAUCGUUUUGUGAUAACCACACCCUAUUAGCACUUCUAUAUACAGGCUGAUUUCCUCUCCUUCUGUUUCCUUUUUGUUCUGAUACCAGCCCAUUACUGGUAACAGGCACAGCUACAAGUUUGGUUGGAUAUGCAUGGUAUAUCAAUAUAUAGAGAGAGAUAUCAAGUUUGGCCUUACUGACUGUACUCCUGGCGGCCUCAGGGCAGAACCGGUGCACUUCUUUAGUGUGCUCUUGCUAUGUACCCUCAAGAAACAUUAACGACAAAGGUGAAGAAAGCAACAGGAGCAACAAUACUAAGAAGGGAUCCUUUGCGGAAGAGAGAGAAUAUGGGGUCAUGGAAGAAGCCAGUAAUAAUGAAUCAGUGCAAGAUCAUCAAAUGAGCAAUGGUGGGAGAAAUAGAAGAAGCAGGAAUGCGAGUGGGUCUAAUAAUGGAUCUCUCUUGGAAACUUCUCCUCUCAAGAGUACUCUCAAGAAAACUACUAGUGCUAUAGUUGGGGAAAAUCAAGCAAGGAAAGAUCAUCAAAAGAGAAAAGUCAGUUGGCCUGAUAUUGCUCAUGGAACAGAUAUUGCUCAUGUUCUUGAAUUUGAAUCAAGCACCUCUGAUGAUGGAGAACUUGAAGGAGUAAGGAACUCUUGUGUUUGUACAAUUCAGUGAACAAGAAAUCCAUAGAGCAGGUUGCAGGUAUAAAUGGUGAGUCCAUGAGGGUCUUUCUUCAAACAAAACGCUGGGAGUACCUAAUGAUCUAUAUAACAACUUCAUUUCUAUAAGAAUAUAAGAAUUCCAGGGGAGAAAUAAAAUCUCAAGGCAUCUGUACUGUACGUACAGAAGAUAAGUGGGAUAUGUGUCUGAAUUCUUUUUAAAAGACUGGGGACAAAGAAUGAUUGGGUUGUUGGAAAAGUAAAGGUUGAGAAUCAGGAUAGUUCGUAGGACCAAUUAUAAGACAAUUGUAUUGUCAGCAUGGUCAAAAUAGAACGAAUGCAAACUCAUGAGAAUCAAUGCAUACAAGGAACUAGAAAUGUCCUUCUCAGGACAAAUUCCUCGAAUUUUUUGCUAUUAGCUAGCGUCUCACAACACGGAUGAAGAUAUAAAAUAAAUUUAUCUUUCUCUAACUCAACAAAGGCCGUAUAAAAUAAUUUGCCUCUUAUUCUUACAGUUUUCCUUCUUUUUUCCAAAGUUUCCCACAGUUUUUCUG
Molecule: RNA transcript, 1775 nt
Organism: Populus euphratica (Euphrates poplar)
Lineage: Eukaryota; Viridiplantae; Streptophyta; Magnoliopsida; Malpighiales; Salicaceae
Exons: 3
Source: RefSeq, a predicted model, not a curated record